RNAcentral lists this ribosomal RNA (119 nucleotides) under Helianthus annuus (common sunflower). Lineage: Eukaryota; Viridiplantae; Streptophyta; Magnoliopsida; Asterales; Asteraceae. The record is from RNAcentral.
GGUUGCGAUCAUACCAGCACUAAUGCACCGGAUCCCAUCAGAACUCCGCAGUUAAGCGUGCUUGGGCGAGAGUAGUACUAGGAUAGGUGACCCCCUGGGAAGUCCUCGUGUUGCAACCC